This 583-nucleotide ribosomal RNA is filed under the name uncultured bacterium. RNAcentral's name for it is "partial 16S ribosomal RNA". It matches the Rfam family "Bacterial small subunit ribosomal RNA", at positions 355 to 1375 of the family's 1533-position model. The record is from RNAcentral.
UGGGGAAUUUUGGACAAUGGGCGAAAGCCUGAUCCAGCAAUGCCGCGUGUGAAGAAGGCCUUCGGGUUGUAAAGCACUUUUGUCCGGAAAGAAAUCCUUGGCUCUAAUACAGUCGGGGGAUGACGGUACCGGAAGAAUAAGCACCGGCUAACUACGUGCCAGCAGCCGCGGUAAUACGUAGGGUGCAAGCGUUAAUCGGAAUUACUGGGCGUAAAGCGUGCGCAGGCGGUUUGCUAAGACCGAUGUGAAAUCCCCGGGCUCAACCUGGGAACUGCAUUGGUGACUGGCAGGCUAGAGUAUGGCAGAGGGGGGUAGAAUUCCACGUGUAGCAGUGAAAUGCGUAGAGAUGUGGAGGAAUACCGAUGGCGAAGGCAGCCCCCUGGGCCAAUACUGACGCUCAUGCACGAAAGCGUGGGGAGCAAACAGGAUUAGAUACCCUGGUAGUCCACGCCCUAAACGAUGUCAACUAGUUGUUGGGGAUUCAUUUCCUUAGUAACGUAGCUAACGCGUGAAGUUGACCGCCUGGGGAGUACGGUCGCAAGAUUAAAACUUAAAGGAAUUGACGGGGUCAUAGCUGUUUCCU